This 568-nucleotide ribosomal RNA is filed under the name uncultured bacterium. Its description in RNAcentral is "partial 16S ribosomal RNA". It matches the Rfam family "Bacterial small subunit ribosomal RNA", at positions 355 to 914 of the family's 1533-position model. The record is from RNAcentral.
UGGGGAAUUUUGGACAAUGGGCGCAAGCCUGAUCCAGCCAUGCCGCGUGCGGGAAGAAGGCCUUCGGGUUGUAAACCGCUUUUGUCAGGGAAGAAAUCUUCUGAGUUAAUACCUCGGGAGGAUGACGGUACCUGAAGAAUAAGCACCGGCUAACUACGUGCCAGCAGCCGCGGUAAUACGUAGGGUGCAAGCGUUAAUCGGAAUUACUGGGCGUAAAGCGUGCGCAGGCGGUUUUGUAAGACAGAGGUGAAAUCCCCGGGCUCAACCUGGGAACUGCCUUUGUGACUGCAAGGCUUGAGUGCGGCAGAGGGGGGAUGGAAUUCCGCGUGUAGCAGUGAAAUGCGUAGAUAUGCGGAGGAACACCGAUGGCGAAGGCAAUCCCCUGGGCCUGCACUGACGCUCAUGCACGAAAGCGUGGGGAGCAAACAGGAUUAGAUACCCUGGUAGUCCACGCCCUAAAACGAUGUCAACUGGUUGUUGGGAAGGUUCCUUCUCAGUAACGUAGCUAACGCGUGAAGUUGACCGCCUGGGGAGUACGGCCGCAAGGUUGAAACUCAAAUGAAUUGAC